GAAAAUUCCCAAAAGCAACUGUAAUCACUAUGUCAUCCCUUAACUUUUCAGACGGUAUCGAUAAAUUUUCCGGCGAAAUGUCUGAGGUUGAUAUCCAAAUCGUCACCUCCGGCGGCCUCCGCAUUCCGGCACAUUCCGCCGUUCUGGCUGCUGCUUCGACGGUUCUGGAGAACAUACUAGCUCGGCCGGGAAAGCGGCGGAGCUCCGAGAGAACGAUUCGGAUUCUUGGCGUGCCGUGCGACGCCGUUUCCGUGUUUAUCCGGUUUCUCUAUUCUUUCAAGUGCACUGAAGAGCAGAUGAAGAGACAUGGGAUCCAUCUGCUAGCACUUUCUCAUGUGUACUUGGUACCGCAGCUGAAACAGAGAUGCACAAAGGGGUUGGCCGAGCGAUUGACGAUUGAGAAUGCUGUGGAUUUGCUUCAACUUGCGAGACUAUGUGAUGCACCAGAUCUAUAUCUUAAGAGUAUGAAAUUUUUGUCUAGUAAUUUCAAGAAAGUUGAGGAGACUGAGGGCUGGAAAUUCCUUCAACAUCAUGAUCCCUGGCUUGAACUUGAAAUUCUACAGUUCAUGGAUGAGGCUGAGUUGCGGAAGAAGAGGACAAGGAGACACAAACUAGAGCGGAGCUUGUAUUUACAGCUAAGCGAAGCGAUGGAUUGUUUGGAGCACAUUUGCACUGAAGGAUGUACUAGUGUGGGGCCAUUAGAUAAAGAACCUUCCAUCAAGAGGCAGCCAUGUAGCAAGUUUGAUACCUGCCAAGGGCUUCAGUUUCUGAUUCGACAUUUUGCUACUUGUAAGAGAAGGACCAAUGGAGGUUGUUUGCGAUGCAAGCGCAUGUGGCAGAUCCUAAGAUUACACGCAUCCAUUUGUGACCAACCAAACGAUUGCCAGGUUCCCCUUUGCAGACAAUUCAAAUUGAAGGUGCAACAAAAGGGUGAUGACGAGCUGUGGAAAUCACUUGUUAGAAAGGUAGUGUCAGCCAGGGCAAUGUCUUCUUUAUCUCUGCCCAAAAGAAAGAGAGAAGAGGAACCGAAAAUGGACUUUAACCAUCAUCAAGUGAUGAACUUCAGAUUGGCAGCUUAGUGUCAAAAGUGUGUGUUUCAUAUCGUAAGGCGAACUCGAUCUUUGUAAAUAGACCAUCAAUAGAAUGUAAUUUAGUUUUUACCAUUUCAUAUUUCCUACUGUAGAGACCUAUUCUAUAUGUUUAUUUAUUAUUUCUGAGUCAGUCUUUUAGUAGAUGAAGAGUGUUGUAUCAGCAAAAGAGUUGUAUACAAAAAGAG
Molecule: unclassified non-coding RNA, 1276 nt
Filed under: Hevea brasiliensis (rubber tree)
Lineage: Eukaryota; Viridiplantae; Streptophyta; Magnoliopsida; Malpighiales; Euphorbiaceae
Source: RNAcentral